GGGUCAGUAGGUUGGUCGUGCCACCGGUACGUACUGGUCUCACUGAUUCCUCCUUCCUGAAGAACCGUAAUGCCAUUAAUUUGGUGUUGCGGGGAAACAGGACUGUUACUUUGAAAAAAUUAGAGUGUUUAAAGCAAGCUAACGCUUGAAUAAAUUAGCAUGGAAUAAUGUAAUAGGACGAUCGAUCCUAUUUUGUUGGUUUCUAGGAUUGACGUA
This 216-nucleotide ribosomal RNA is filed under the name Glomeromycotina sp. RNAcentral describes it as "partial small subunit ribosomal RNA". The stretch from base 40 to 216 matches the Rfam family "Eukaryotic small subunit ribosomal RNA", at positions 686 to 864 of the family's 1831-position model. The record is from RNAcentral. Lineage: Eukaryota; Fungi; Glomeromycota.